GAUGAAGAACGCAGCGAAAUGCGAUAAGUAAUGUGAAUUGCAGAUUUCAGUGAAUCAUCGAAUCUUUGAACGCACCUUGCGCCUUGUGGUAUUCCACAAGGCAUGCCCGUUUGAGUAUCAUUAAAUCAUCAACUCUAAAAACUUUGUGUUUUUUUGAGCUUGGUCUUGAGGGUUUUUUGCAGGCGGUUCCGUCUGCUCCCUUUAAAUGCAUUAGCGAGACUUCCCUGUGCUGUACCGUCUCUUUGACGUGAUAAUUAUCUACGUUGAAUUUGGUUCUCGUUGGGCUUGCUUCUAACCGUCCGUGAUUUUGGACAAACCAGGAUUUGGGUGCAUAUAUGCGCCUUUUUUCUAAACCUUUUUUGAUCUCAAAUCGGGUAGGACUACCCGCUGAACUUAAGCAUAUCAAUAAGCGGAGGA
RNAcentral lists this unclassified non-coding RNA (417 nucleotides) under soil metagenome. Its description in RNAcentral is "partial contains 5.8S ribosomal RNA, internal transcribed spacer 2, and large subunit ribosomal RNA". The stretch from base 1 to 120 matches the Rfam family "5.8S ribosomal RNA", at positions 35 to 154 of the family's 154-position model. The record is from RNAcentral.